CAAAGAGACAGACAUGACAGAAAAGACAAAAAAGAGAGACCAUUAAGAGAAUCACGACUUUUACCUCUGGGCUGAACCAACAAUCUUUUUUCUCUGAGGAAUUAUUCUCUGGAUUAUUUCCCUAACCUCUGCACUGAAACGUAUUGUGACACACUGACUGAAUUAUAAACGUUUCUUUUAAGUCCUUUAAGUUACGUGGCUGCCAUCGCCAAAGCCUCACCUUUGACCUCCACUUACAUGCAAGCUACUGGAGACUAUUUAACAGUAAGGACAAACGUUGGGCAGCAGUAUGGAGGUGCUCAGUGGCCCCUGGGCUGAAGUGGCUCUGCUCCUGCGACAAACCAUCAUGCAGACAGACAGAGAGACAGACAGUUUUCUUCCUCUCUGGUUCUUCAGCCUGCUGCUGUUCCUGUCUGUCUGUCUGCUGCUGCUGCAACUGAUUAUCUACCUCAGCUGGAAACUCAGACAGGUUGAGGCUGAUCUGUGGGGGUUUCCAGAGGACAGAAGCGCCAUCCACAGGCAGAUACACAGAAGUACACACCUGAGGAGGAGGAGCGUUGGGUAGCAUUCAUACACCUGACCGGACACACACACACUCAAUAUGAGUUCAAACUGUCUCUAUAGCAAUAUGACCACUGUGGACACCAUCAUGGACGUGGGAGGGACAUAUCUCAUAAGCCGUCUCAUGAGAAUAAAAGUUGAAGCCUGUAUAGAAAAUCUGUAGCUGUCAUAGAUCUGUGAAAACCAAUGCUGUACCUCUUGAAAAACUCAGGAAAAUUUGGAAGCCAUUUAAACAGCUGUCUGUACAUAUGUACAACAUCUGUAUGAAGAAUCUUACACAUGAAGAACAGUAGUAUUUUUGGUAAAGUGAACACUUAGUGUACACAUUAUUACUACCUGACUACGACAUCAACUCAUGUACAUUAACAUAAGACAUUUACAUGUUUUGAAUCACAACUGAAAUGAAUGAAUGAGGAAAUGGACUGACCAAACAGAUUUCAGAGUAUAACAAUCCUUUAUUUAAACAGUGUUACACUGGGGAGGAGUGGCUGUGCGUGGGGAGACACAAGACAGUUAAGCUGCUAGAUAGAAAAAUCCUACCGGUGAUCAUUGGUUGGCUAAGAAAGAGCAAUGAGGCAGCUGGUUGGUUUUCCAAAACUCAGUUCUUUAUAAAGUUUUGUGGAAAGUGAGUUUUUACUUAGUUAAAAUACAAAACUUUGCUGGUUUUAAUUGACUUUAUACCUCCUCAUCUGUCCAAACUGUAGUACCAAGCCUGAGAUUUAUGUGUAAAGAAUAUAAUUGGCAUCAAUUAUAAAACAUUCAUCUCAUCAGCCCCCACACAGAAAGUCAUGUCACUGUGUCGGAUGAAAGUUACAAUGCCCUCCAUAAUGUUGAGAUCCCUGACAGUUUUAAAAUCAGCUGGCGUUGAAUCAUCUGUUUCUUAUCCAUGAGUAACAUUAUGGAGUUGCCUUGGUAACUGCUGGAAACUUCCAAUGGUCCAACUCUUGUCUAUUUUGCUUUUUUAUCUUAAUAAAAGUUACUGUCAUUCAUUUGUCAUUCUAUUUUUUUCUUUUUUGGGUGAUCUCACAUAAAAUUUAUGAGAAAAAGCUACAAACAUUUUGGAAAACCGGACCUCACCGCCCCACAGCUCCUGUGACUGGAUAGAAGAAAGCCCAGACCCCCGAAAAGAGGUUUAAUCUGUGGCCAAAAGUACAAAAAGGAAACGGUGGCAGAAAAUUUGAUUCGUAAUGGUGUUCCUUCAAAAAACACUGUGACAAUGUUAUAAAUAUUCAAGAGGGGGGCACAACAAUUCCCGCCUUUCAACAACUAGAUCAGUUUCACAGAAAUAGGACGACAAAUUAUGAGAAAAGCUACAAAUAUCAUUGUUUUUUUCUGUUUUGAACAGCGAAAACUCACAAAGCUGCCCAUUGUUGCAUGGUUUGUUUGUUUUUUUCCUUCUUUUUCUGCUGCUUUGUCUCUUUGCAAGAGGGUUAGAGGUUAAAGCUUCCCCCUCAUCUGGAAUGUCAUUUAACUGCAUAGUAGAGGUCAGACCGGUGUUUCCCAAUAAAAAGCCAAGACAGUCAUUACCACGCUAUCAUCUGGACAUGUCUCAGUCCAGAAAUAAAGUUUUAAAAUGGUUUCAAAUUAGGAGGUCAAUACUCCUUCAUUAAAAACACACAAAUUAUUCUGUUGAGUUCAAUAUGAAAUGCCACUAUGUCCAGUCAGAGAGGAGGGUUAAGACAAACCUAGGCAAGUCCAGGUGGAAUGUUUUCAUAUAAAUCUGUGGCACUUCUUUGAUUACAGAUCAGAUUUUACAGAAUUUGUUUUUCUUUUUUCAUUUUUGCUCACAUUGAAAAUCCGUCAACUAAAUACAUUGGACCAAACUCCUUGUUCUAACCUGUUUAAUGCCACCGAUAUUUAAACAGACACAUUUUUGUGGAUUUCUGCUGAACAUUUGGCUAAAGGACAGAAAAUGAAUAAAACAUCAUGAGAUUCCAUGUAGGGGGGUUUUCAAGAGCACUUCAAGCCCUCUGAUACACUUCCCUUCAAGCUGCAUUUUACUGUUAUGUUGUAACUGUUUCCAUGUCUGUCUGUAGUAUGUAGUUAUGUUUGUGUUGUAGAAUCAUCUAGAAUACAACUGAAUGUAAUUUUGAAAUUUAAACAUAUAAAAUACCAUUAACACGGCACAAUAUUUGGUUGUGGUGAAACAGUUACAACACAGCCAGCGCCAUGUCAAAGAUAAUCUUAUCUAGACAUACUGUAUGAGCCGAGAUAAUCUGUUAUCUACACACUCUCAAACCAAUCAAUCUAUACUCGCUCAAGAUACUCUUUGAAGAUAAAAAUGUGUGAAGACAUGCUGAAUUUAAUUCCACCUCUCAUUAUGUCUAGCAGGUUUUGUUGGUACGUAAAGAAGCUGGGAGUGAAAUUAAGUGCUGAACUACGAUGACAAACAGGCUCCGAGGCAGAGUUAGCAAACUGGUAGAAAUUACUUGUGACAGAACUGGUUUCCAAGCUGUUCCAGCUGCAUGUCCUCAUUUUGGUACCUGCGUUGGUCGUAGCACAAAACUCUUUUUGAAUAAUAUAAAUUGCAGAUUGUUUGUUAAGCAUUGUCCUAAGAAUAUUAAAACAGCUUUAACUCACUGCAGGGUGCAAUAUAACAACUGCAAAAAAAGGCCGACAGGCAAUAAUGUUCAAAUUCCUUUUCACUCCCAAAUAGAUGAUGGUCGGCAUGGUACAGCGCUAACACUAUCUCCCAAUUACACUUGUGUUUACUGGUCCUCUCUCCCAAUCAAGUCAGUUUGCUGCUCCCUUGCUCCCCUGCGGCCCAGUGGGAAUGGUUAGUGUCAUACAGUGGGCGGGCCCAGGGAGAGCGUUUAGCUAAGUUAAAGCUGGAUUACUGCUCAUUAACCUUCAUUUAGUUUACUGUACAGAACGUUGUAUACACCAGCGUUAAAGUCAGUUCAUUUUCAGUUCUGAAUUCAAAAAUAAAGUAAAACCCACUGACCCAGUUAAGAGUCCUUCCACUCUUACCUACUGUAAAUGUUAAAAUGUCUUCUCUUGAGUAAAAAGUGAAUUGAACUGAUAAUGAACUCACUCAGCUGCCAGUCAACACACAAGGAAUGUGGAUGAAUAAUAACUAUACUUACAGGAAAAAAAGACGGAACCAUAAAAAACAAAAAAAAAAA
Molecule: long non-coding RNA, 3686 nt
Organism: Seriola dumerili (greater amberjack)
Lineage: Eukaryota; Metazoa; Chordata; Actinopteri; Carangiformes; Carangidae
Exons: 3
Source: RefSeq, a predicted model, not a curated record